AGUGAACGCUGGCGGCAGGCCUAACACAUGCAAGUCGAGCGGCAGCGGGUCCUUCGGGAUGCCGGCGAGCGGCGGACGGGUGAGGAAUACAUCGGAAUCUGCCCUGUCGUGGGGGAUAACCUAGGGAAACUUAGGCUAAUACCGCAUACGACCUACGGGUGAAAGCGGGGGAUCGCAAGACCUCGCGCGACAGGAUGAGCCGAUGUCCGACUAGCUAGUUGGCGGGGUAAAGGCCCACCAAGGCGACGAUCGGUAGCUGGUCUGAGAGGAUGAUCAGCCACACUGGGACUGAGACACGGCCCAGACUCCUACGGGAGGCAGCAGUGGGGAAUAUUGGACAAUGGGCGCAAGCCUGAUCCAGCCAUGCCGCGUGGGUGAAGAAGGCCUUCGGGUUGUAAAGCCCUUUUGUCCGGGAAGAAAUCGUCUGGGCUAAUACCCCGGGCGGAUGACGGUACCGGAAGAAUAAGCACCGGCUAACUUCGUG
RNAcentral lists this ribosomal RNA (484 nucleotides) under uncultured bacterium. RNAcentral describes it as "partial 16S ribosomal RNA". It matches the Rfam family "Bacterial small subunit ribosomal RNA", at positions 30 to 507 of the family's 1533-position model. The record is from RNAcentral.